Molecule: ribosomal RNA, 504 nt
Filed under: uncultured bacterium
Lineage: Bacteria
Description: bacterial SSU rRNA
Rfam family: Bacterial small subunit ribosomal RNA
Source: RNAcentral
AGUGGCGUACGGGUGAGUAACACGUGGAUCAUCUACCUCUGGGUGGGGAAUACCCCCGGGAAACUGGGGACAAUUCCGCAUACCCUCGCGAGAGGAAAGCCGAAAGGCGCCCGGAGAGGAGUCCGCGGCUAAUUAGCUUGUUGGCGGGGUAACGGCCCACCAAGGCGAAGAUCGGUAGCCGGCCUGAGAGGGCACACGGCCACACUGGCACUGAAACACGGGCCAGACUCCUACGGGAGGCAGCAGUGGGGAAUCUUGCACAAUGGGGGAAACCCUGAUGCAGCGACGCCGCGUGAGCGAUGAAGCCCAUCGGGGUGUAAAGCUCUUUCGACGGGAACGAUAAUGACGGUACCCGAAGAAGAAGCUGCGGCUAACUACGUGCCAGCAGCCGCGGUAAUACGUAGGCAGCAAGCGUUGUUCGGAAUUACUGGGCGUAAAGAGUGUGUAGGCCGCGCUCUAAGUUCGGUGUGAAAUCUCCCGGCUCAACUGGGAGGGUGCGCCGAA